RNAcentral lists this ribosomal RNA (465 nucleotides) under uncultured bacterium. RNAcentral describes it as "partial 16S ribosomal RNA". It matches the Rfam family "Bacterial small subunit ribosomal RNA", at positions 28 to 507 of the family's 1533-position model. The record is from RNAcentral.
GAUGAACGCUGGCGGCGUGCUUAACACAUGCAAGUCGAACGGAAAGGCCCAAGCUUGCUUGGGUACUCGAGUGGCGAACGGGUGAGUAACACGUGGGUGAUCUGCCCUGCACUUCGGGAUAAGCCUGGGCAACUGGGUCUAAUACCGGAUAGGACCACAUUUUGGAUGGUGUGGUGGAAAGUUUUUCGGUGUGGGAUGAGCUCGCGGCCUAUCAGCUUGUUGGUGGGGUAAUGGCCUACCAAGGCGUCGACGGGUAGCCGGCCUGAGAGGGUGUACGGCCACAUUGGGACUGAGAUACGGCCCAGACUCCUACGGGAGGCAGCAGUGGGGAAUAUUGCACAAUGGGCGCAAGCCUGAUGCAGCGACGCCGCGUGGGGGAUGACGGCCUUCGGGUUGUAAACUCCUUUUGCUAGGGACGAAGCGCAAGUGACGGUACCUGGAGAAGCAGCACCGGCUAACUACGUG